AUGUGGCUGACUGGUGAUCUACGACCACCUUGGGCUAGGAGUCAAGACGGGGCUGCCCUACAUCUGCCACAGCAAGGCCAGCAACCCAUUCGUGAACCUGAAGGAGUACAAGGGCAUCUUUUGGCAGGAGGACAUCAUCCCCUUCUUCUAGGUCGCGAAGCUGACAAGGAAUGUGACACCCUGCAGAAGUGCUACAUCUCGCUCUCGCAGCAGGUCAAGGAGAAGCUCGGCAAGAUUGACCCCUAUUUCAUCAAGCUCGCCGACGCCAUGGUCAUCUGGAUCGAGGCCCGGGACAUGCUCAACUCCAAGGACUCCAAGGAGGCCAACGGCAAGCUCAAGGGGAAGUAG
Molecule: ribosomal RNA, 348 nt
Filed under: Triticum aestivum (bread wheat)
Lineage: Eukaryota; Viridiplantae; Streptophyta; Magnoliopsida; Poales; Poaceae
Description: partial small subunit ribosomal RNA
Source: RNAcentral